Hydractinia symbiolongicarpus is the source of this 11479-nucleotide long non-coding RNA. RefSeq lists it as uncharacterized. NCBI's taxonomy places the organism in Eukaryota, Metazoa, Cnidaria, Hydrozoa, Anthoathecata, Hydractiniidae. The transcript has 3 exons. The record is from RefSeq and is a predicted model, not a curated record.
UCACAUUCCAAAGUUGUCAAUUUCACGAUAGAAGGAUACUGACAUUUGAAUAACUUUAAGAGAAAGAAACAACAGCGGAAAGCUUCAAAUCAAGGGCAAGAAAAUGGCGGCAAAUAUCACAAAUUGUUGUUAACGACUUGAUGGACUCCUUGAUGUAAAUGCAGCUAAAAAUAAAAAAGAAGCGACGAAGGGAGAAAAUUAUACUGUUUAUUGGAAUAUCAGCAAUGCAAGGGCUCUUUAUUGCAUGGAAUUGUAUCGAAACAAAAAAACUAUAAAGUCAGAUGCUGCUGCUGACUGGAAAUCUCUUAAAGCAUCUACCGUCCACAAAACCGCUGUUACUAUAAAAUGCACUGCAUGAUGACGAUACACAAUAUUUCAUAUGCUGAUGAUGCAAGUGAAUAUGUUAUGAAAGUGACAUACCUUUAUCGCAAUCCAUUACGAGAAAUAAAAGAAUCACAUUAAUGUUAAAGGUAUAAUAUACUGUGUUACUGUUACGCAACUUCCAUAUGUUCCUGAAUAAUGUAAGUUAAUUUUUUUGUUUAUAUGUUUAUCGGACUUGAAUAGUUACUCAAAUAAUAUUGUCUUCCAGUGGUUGGAACACCUAGCCUGCAAAGUCAGUUAAAUAAGCAUACUUGUAUCCAUUGCCACAUUGCCAUUUUUUAUAAAACGCGGCCAGUUACUCACUUUUUCCUUUAUUGCAGAGCUAAGCCAGCGAGGGAAGCCCAUUUGCCAUUUAAAGGAGCGUCAAUAUUUCUUACCAGGGAACAUUUUCUAAAACUUAGUCAGUUGUCCACUUAUGACUUUUAGUUAAUUUCCACUUAUCACCUGAAGAUUAAGGAGAUUUUUUCCUACUGGCGUAUUUUCAAGAAAAUAUUUAUGGGAAAAUAUUUGUCUGUUUCUUCAUUUUGCGAACUGCGGCUAAAGUGACUCUUCGGCGCGAUAUGUGCAAAUCGAAUUUGAAACUCCAAUACGACGCUAAAAGAAAAAAGAAGGAAAAAUCUGCCAGCAAGAGAAACUGCAGAGGACAGUAAUAAAGUUUUGUCAUUUGAGCAGGGGGCAAUAAAAGAAUAUUAAUAAAAGUUUACCAUUUGUGCGUGUUUUAUGAUGGCUUCUGAAUAAAAGGUAUAGAAAAAACAGUUUGUGCUUUGACAGGGGAAAGCGAAGGAAUUAAAUGAGGUUUGAAUCGAUAUUACUUUAAUUUGCUUAGUUGAAGAACCAGUUCCCUUUUAAUUUAUCAUCUAUAUAGCUAAGUAACAAAUUUUUCCAACAUACUUCUGCUUUUUUAUGCUCUAAAAUAAAACCAUAUAUUUUAUAUUUGGGAUUACGCACCCAGUACCAACAAAACGAUAGUUUUACUAUAGAAAAGUUGUAAAGAAGUUUAGAUUUAUUCGCCUGUAAACAAAAUAUUUAUAACACCCUCUUCUGGAUCCUAUUUUUUUGUUUUGUCUUUUAACUUAAUUUAUUGCAAAAACAACAGGAUGUCAUGUUCACAGUCGUUGACGCAAGCAAGAUAGUUUGAUGUUGUUGGCGUUCUAAUAAAAACACAACAAGGAAGAACAAUUAUGUAGGGAAAACAUAAAUAUUCAGUUUUUGCAAUGUGUAUAUCCUUUUCACUUGCUGAAAAAUGAAUGCCUUUAGAAUAGAUUCACGUUUUUUAUUAACUUGUACAGAACAGAAGUGCUCUACAUCUCUACCCCUAUUGUAACAAGAAACCCUAUUGUAACAAGAAAUCCUGAAGAACUGUGGCCCGCCGUAAAUUAUUAUUAUUACUUGCACUGCCAAGCACAGUUGUUCUCUUGCGAAUAUAGGGGACCUGGUCCUGCCACGCAACCCUUUAUGUAUUGAUAGUGUUUUACCAAACAUAGAUUUGUAAGUCUUCUUUUAGGUCUUUAUGAAUAACAAUGUUCAUUAUAGUUUGUUAACACGCAACUUUAACAAAUUUGGGACACGUCGUGGCUGUUGCUAUUGUUACUUAUUUCUAUUUUUCUUCUCUUCCAAAUUUCGUACUUAAAGUUCUAAUUUUUCUAUGAAAAAUUGUGCCACAAUAAGUUGUGUCGAAUAGGAUGGUAGGCCCAUUUUCAUGCCAGUCAUAUUUUUAAAUGCUAAUUUUGCUUUUACUGCUUCCUUGUUGAGCUUGAAAUCGUCUUCGCUGCCCAAAUGCAACCGUGCAACAUCUCACUCUGCUCCGGUCUCGAUUGGUCAGUUUUUCUGUCAUUUUUCCAUGCGUGAAUUAAAUAAGAGCUAUGCAGGCAUAAUGGCAAAGCCACCGUUGGAAGCCUUUCGUUUAACCAGAUGAAGUAAUGAGAAAACCGCAUAAAAGUAACAGAUAGGGUAAUAUGAAAGUUUAAAUGUGCCUCAUUCAUGUCUGGCUUUGCCUUGAACGUGUUACAGAUUAAGCAUUUUACUGCUAGUUCAGUAUUUAUGCUUUAUACACAGGCGGUAACUGUGUUUAUUAAACUUUAAAUCAGACAUCUAUGUUGUAAAGAAAGAAAUAUCUCCUUUUUGAAACAGUUUUUCCUAUUCCGAGGUUGACGUUACGCCGUUUUGACCUGUUACCUGGUUCCGAAAUAUAUCAUGACGUCACGUAAAACUGGAUGACGUCAUCCAAAUUUUUUGUCCUAUUUCUCCUCCAAUGUUUUGACAAAUUAUUUUUGGAAGCAAAAAUACUAGGCGCGUAAUCACCGUGUUGGCAAAUGUUUUAGAGUUGCUUAUUAUAUUGCACAAAAUGAAAGAUACACAUAAGAAACGUUAUCCUGUAAAUUUUAUUAACAACCAGAACAUGUUCAAAUGUUUCAUAGAAAUAACACCCCAAAUUUCUCUUCGCCUACAGAACCGCCAUUGCAUUUCAAACAUGAUAAAUCAGAUAAAUCAAUCAAAGUUUUUGUGUUACUCUUUAUUAUUUGAACGUUUUAAGUUCAAACUUCUUUGCAACACUGAACUCUUCUUGUUGUUGUUUUGGAAGACAGGUUCGCCUCGCUAGCUGUCUUACUUAUUGAUUAUUUUCCUCUGUUUAAAAAGUUAAUUGUUUCCUUAUAGAGACAAUAUCAGAUCCAGACAAUUACAAUACCUAAAUUUUCAGAAUUUCCCCUUUCAUGCUUUAAAUUUUAAUAUCUCCAUAGUGCUUCAACUAUCUUUAACUUUCACAAUGAGCAUUUUCACGUUGGCUUAUAAUAUGCAAUAAUCCCGGUCAUGCUAAUAAAAAAAAGAGCGUGAUAAGCGUAAACUAUGAUAAUUAAUAACCAUGAGACAAUGCUGUGAUUUCUGCUUUUUGUAUUGUUCUGUUUUGUCUGGUCUCUAAAAACAAUGGCGACUCCAUAAUGGCGAUUUUAUCGAGCUCCACCUCAAUGCUGAUUUAAAAUUACGGCUGUUUGUUUACCUACGGUUUCACACGAUCAUUUUGAGACGGCCCACUUAUUAGACGGGAAUAAGAGAUCAACAAGAUCGUUAAAUUUGGCGGCUGAAAAAAAACAACAAUAAAUGCAAGAUAUUAAAGUGUUAUUAUUUCCCCUUCUAGUAAGUUUUAUAUCCUCAAACUUUUAGGAAAAUCAUAACUCCGUCUGAACAUUGAAAUAAAUAAAAAAUGUAUAUAUUAUUAUUUUUCGAUAAGAGUGAUUACGCGCCUUUAAGACAAGUAUAUUCACUAAAAGCUAGUGGAUUCUUGUGAAAAGAAAAAUGUUUUUUUGAUACUAAAAACUUGUUGUAAUAUAUAAAAGACUUACCGUGCGACGCGAUCUUUUGAUCGUACUAAUUAAAAAGUUUAUUAAGAAAAAGAAAUAUUUUGGUUAAAUUUGUUAAAGAAAAUUUUAAACAAGGGAGAAUAUUGUUAAAAAGAAUAGUUACACUGCUUUUUUGGUCUUGUAUAAUCCGUAAACUGUUUACUAACUGUAAUCAUUGAACAUCUUUUUAUAGUGAUGAACCUUACACGUAGCUAGUGAUCAUUUAAAAUUUGAUAUUUUUGCGAAAAGGUUGUGGAAAACAGUAUGUUUUCAACAUGUACCCAGGGGCGGAUCUAGGAUUUUUUUCUGGUUAGGCAAAAUUUCAUAGAUUUUUUGGCAAAGUAAUGUCAAGGGUUGUGGUGUUGUACGAGGUAAAUCGGCCGUUUUGUGUUUUUGCUGUAAAAGGAACUAAAAUUUUCCCAAAAGUAAGGUUUUUAGUUAUUAAGAAUCCUUCUAGAUUAGAAACGAAAGUUUCUUUAUAGCCAAACAAAUAACAGUAACCCCCGUAGUUUUACCACUUUAUCCUUGUUAAAACAUGCGGAUGGAAAAUGCGUCUGGUUAGCAAAUUCGAUUUGAAACAGGGUUAGCGUUUCCAUAAUUUCUUUGAAUCACAUAUUGGUAUUAAGUAUCUUAGCAUCUUUUUUCGUUUUGCGCACAUAAUACGAGUACAAGUAAUAAGUUGGGGAUUUGCUUCAUUUCAAAACAUGCAAUAAGUCUAAUAACUAACAAUACAACAAAAAAUUACAUUACAAGACAAUUUUAGGAAUAGAUAGUCAACAGUAGUGCAACGUAGAAAUAUUGUUUGGAAAAUUAUAGUCUGUGGUAACAACCUGCAAAUGCACAAAGAAAACCAGCAUAUAAAAGAAUGAAAGAUUUCCAGUUAGACUUACAGUGUAAGAUCGCAACAUAUAAUAAACGUGUACAAAAAGUAUAUAGUAAUCACCUCUUCAUGAAGUUAAUACAGUUUAGCAUUAGGGUUACUGGUGUAGUUUUGCACCAAUUUCUAUUAAGCAUUAAUUUUAAUGCUAUGAAAUUCCCACAAGAGAAAGGCAGUUUAUUAAGCCAGAAAAGAGUUAGAAAUUAGAAAAAUAACAUCAAAACAUUUAAGAUGUCUCAUAUUAUUUACCCUUACAUGUCCCUGUCAACUAUGUUUAAAAAAUAUUUUAAUACUGUAAAAUCUUUAAGAAAGUUUUAGUAACUAUAAGCCAAUUAUGAAGAUUCUCAUAUAAAAAGCAACAUAUAUACAAAUCCUACUCAUAUCCAUAAGUUGACAUGACAUUUUGUUAGUUUACAGUCUGUAACAGAACGUUUUUUAACAUGCAAUUCUUGUUGCGAUCUGUAUAUGUUUUACGUGAAAAUCAUUUCUAUGAUUUACUUGAAUAUUCACAAGUUAUUUUGAUUGAUUUUUUUCACCAACUUUGUGGAUUAUACCAGAUAUAUAUCCAUUGUUUACAGUUUUCCAAUAUUAUAAGGAUUCAGAACAAAUCUUCUGUGUUAUUUACUUGAAUAUUCAUCAUAGGUACCAGGGUGACAUCAAAAUACAAAUUAUUUUGAUUGAUUUUUUUCACCUUCUUAGUUCCUCUUAUGAAACACAACUUUGUGGAUUAUACCAGAUAUAUAUCCAUUGUUUACAGUUUUCCAAUAUUAUAAGGAUUAACAAAUCUGUGUUCUUUUAAUUGAUGGUGAUUUUCAUUGUCAGAAGAAUAUUCAUCUUAGGUACCAGGGUGACAUCAAAAUAUCUUAUCCUAAAACAAAAUUAUAUCAAUGUAUUGCUCAGCAAGAUGAGAAUAAGAAAUAUUAUAAAACAAACUUGGACUAUUCUUAGAUUAGGUAUUGCUUCAUUCUUUUGUUUUUAGCAAUAUUAUUACAAUUAAAAGUAACAUGGGAAAGUCAAAGAGAUCUUCUCGUGUUCUUAAAAGUUUUAAAAUGAGCAGUGGGAUGUUGCAUAUAAAAUGCACUGUUUAAAAGUUCCCACAAAGUCAAAGUUCUUAGGAACAAUCACAAUAAAAAAGUAUAUGCUAAGCGUAUAAAUUUGGCGGUGGGACGAGGUAGAAUCCUUUGACGUUUAAUUAUAUCUCAUACUGUAUACAUCGAUUUCUUAGAGAACAGAAAGAAUUAAUAACUUUUAGUGUCUACCUGCUUAGCAGGGACACAUGGAUGAGUGCUUAUGGUUUCAAGGACUGACAGCAUUCAAAGAUUACCUUUUCUGAUUUGAUGUUUAGGGGAGGGAAAGGGGAUCUGCAGAUCUAUUAACAUUUAGCUUGGACUUUUGCGUUCAUGAAAGAGCUGUCCCUUAGUUAUCUUACAAGAAUGUAUUCUCUCCCAAACAGAAACAAAGAUACACAGUUGCAUAAACGGCUACACGAAGCCUACACGAAGCCAGUGACCCUUAAGACGUUAAAGAAAAAAAACUAACAAAAUUCCAACUAAUACACAUACAGGUAGCUAGUAAUACUCUAUACCGAAUUUAACAUACACAUCAAAACAUCUUUCGACCGCCAAGACAGUGUUUACAUAAAUUGCCUCCGUUAGCUAUCUCGUUUGGCAUUGGGCUUUUAUGUUUUUAAACAAUGCAUUUGAUCAAGGCCAAGUUAAAACCUUUUGUUUUGAUAAGAAAAAGAUUUAAAUUACACGUUUUGUAAGAACAUCUGGUGGUUUACCACUUUUAAGAAUAGUUCUUGACACAAAAGUGCCUAAAAUUCAGGAGCAGCUAAAACUAAAAUAUUUCAAGUAUUACUGAAUUUAUUGUCUCUUGCAGAGGAAGAUAAAGGUUUGGUUUGAGACAACAACACGGCACACGUGGCCAAAAAUACUUCUCUCCAGCAUUUCCAAUCCUUUCAAUGUCUGAAAAGGUUUCCAAAUUCAAAACUUCUUUAUUUAACUUAGGUGGCAUACAAUUGCUUUAAUAUUCUAGACAUUUGAAGUGCUCCCUGCAAUUGGACCUGAUCCAGGUAAACCAUGUUGAAAAAGAAACAUCCACUCCAUGUAACCGUACCCGUGGUCGUUUUAGGCGUUUAAACUUUAAAACCCACGGACGUUUUAGGCGUUUUUUCUUCACAUUCCAGAAUUUCAUUCAUUGGAACUUGAAAACCCGCGGACGUUUUAGGCGUUUUUUCUUCCAUCUGUGAUUUUCAUUCAUUCGGAACUUUAAAACCCGCGGACGUUUUAGGCGAAUAGACAUUUUGCCUAAGAUCGCCCCGGGUUUGCUUAUUUGAGUAAAAUAAAACACGCACGCCGCGCAUCGUCAUAGUCGAAAUCGGCGGAUGCCAAAAAUAAAUUGAUAAAAAUAAUUUAGUUUUUUUUUAGAUUAUUCUAUCUAUAGAGAAUUUUUUUUCUAGUUCACAAAACUAGGCUUAGGCAAUUGCCUAGGCUGCCUAACCCUAGAUCCGCCCCUGGUACCUGCUACACAUAAAAAUAGUAACGAAUUGUAACGUUACGUUGAUUUUUAAUGCUUUUAAAAACUAAAUUUCAGCUAGCUUGCCCUCUGUCCUGAUCUUCAGAUACUUAGAUUAACUACAGUUUUUUUCCUAUGGACGCAAGGGCAAAAAAUGUUUCGUCCUUAAGAAGAAUGUGAAUGCCACAGCUUUUGAUUUUUUUGCAUGUUGGACAUUUUAUUACAAUUUCAAUUUCUGUCUUAAUUGAGGUGGUUAACCUCAACGAAAAUGUGGACAUUUUUAUUUGAAAAACGAAUCAAGUAAGAUGCCAAAUGUCCAAAUUUGUUACCACUUAAAUAUGUCGUCAAUACUUUAGGUUAAAUAAAUUUGUUUUGAUAACAAAAAAAAUGGUUAAAAGUUGUUUUCCUUAUAAGACCUAUAACAAGUUUUUAAUUUGAUUCUCAAUUUAAUAUCCUUUAAAAAAAGUAUUAAUCGUUCUCAAGAAGGCUACUAAGUGUGAAUCAUAUCAUCGUAACUUAAUGGAAAAGAAAUAUUGUGACUAAGCAGAAUUUUUUUAAGCCUAACCAACUUUUGACUGAGUCAGUAAAGGUUGUUCCUGACACAUAAAAUAAAUAUGUCUAAUAAUGAUUUACAAGGUCCUGAAUUCUGUGGAACACAAUUAGCAAACAGGAUUGACGUAAUCAAUGAAAAAGCUGAAGUUGAGAUAUAUGGUCAUCCAAAACCCAAAGUAAUUUUUUAUACACACAAACAUCAAAAACUUCCUGGUGCGUGUGAGUUAACAGAAGAAAGACUUAAGAAGUACAAAUGCGAAGUGGAAUUGACAAAUUUCAAAUGCGGAGAAAUGCUGUAUUUGCAAAGUCGCGGUUACGACGAUAUAAAACUAAUUUCUUUAUCCCUGUUAAUUGGCAACUGUGAGUGCUUAAUUACCAAGUCUCUGGUACUCAUCAUUACUAAUUGUAAAGUGAACUAAUUGUUGAAAAUUUCGGCCUCAUGGGAAAAUAUAAUAACUGUUCUACAUGUUAAUGCCUAAAGUAUACAAUAAAAUUUUCUCUCGGGUACUGACUAACACUGAGUGAAAUGUACAACGUAUUUGCACAUUUCUUAUUUGGUGUUUUGAAAAAAAUUGACUAAAUCUCUUAGAAAAUAUAAUGCAAAAAAUUAUAACACCGAAGGAACCAUAAAGAAUCAAAUUAUUUUAAUUAUUCUACAGCAAUAAUUUUUAGAUACCCCGCAGAAUGUAAGUUAUAAAGCAGAUUCUAAUGGAUGCUACACACUUAAAUGGUCUAUCCAUCAUCUUGGUAUGGAAUGUGUUAAGAAGUACUAAUUGAAAGGGUUUCUUUCAGAAAAAUUGUAGCCAAAAAGUUCGACAAUAGUAACAACACCAACGAAUUACUUUAUGUGCAACAUUUCGAUACAGUAUGUGACAGUUAGAGCUGUAUCUCUAUGGAACGAUACAAGUAAUUGGGCUUUACAAAAGAUAAAAGACAAAAGUGGUGUGCACCCAAAACGUAGGUUUUUUUCUUUAUUUCUCAGUUUUCACUGUUUUACAGAAUGAAGCGAAAAAAAAAUGUAUUUAAUAAUAUUCUUUCAUAGAGGAAUAUGAUAUCAGGAUUGCCUAAAGCAUCAAUGUCAUGUUAUUUUUUUGUCCUGUCGUCUUAAAAAAAAUAAUAAAAAAAAAAAAUAAUAAAAAAAGUUUAAAAAAAAUUAUGUUUGAACCUUUCACUAUGUUGAAUUAAUUUGUGUUCGAGUAACAACAUGCAAAUAUGUUAUGCUAACAGAGACAUCUUUUAUCGAAAGAAUCCAAUGUCUGACACAAAACACAGUUCCACUCACUUCGUCUGCUUACAUAUAAUUAAAUGAAUAGUCUUAUCACAAAUUCCAAGAAGUGCAUUUUGCAAGAAUUGAUGAAGGUUGAAUUGUUUAUAGAUACGCCGCUAAAUUUAAGUUACAAAGUAAAUUGCAAUGGAUGCUACAUAGUUACAUGGUCCAUCCACCGGUUUUGGAUAGGAUGUGUUAGAAUGUACGAAUUGAAAACGCUUCUUGACGAUGAAUCAUUGUUAAAAAACACGACAACAGUAACAAUCAUUUUGUUUCAUUUUGAGUCGAACAAUCAUUUUAUGUGCUAUCCAUCAAUACGAUAUAUUAAAGUUAGAACAGUAUCUAUAUGACAUGAUAAAAGUAAAUGGGUUAUGCAAGAAAUAAAUGCUGAGCGUGUUGCACAACGAAAAGGUUAGGCAUCUAUUUUUUCAACGUUGGAUGUAAUAUUUGUGCAAAUGAUCGUGUAUCUUUUUGUUUUGUUUUUGAUUUUUCUCAAAAUGGGAAAAAAGAAUUACUUUGCCAAUGCUCAGCAACAAUUUGGACGCGAAAUCAUCUGUUUUUACUGAUGUUUACGAACACACAAUGAGAAUAUACACUUUCUAUAAUUCUUGCAUUAUGAAAAAUUCGCGCAAUGGCCUGAGAAAGCUCUGAAAAUAGAGAGAAUGGAACGUCUUGAUGUGUGUAAAAUAUAUUACCGUUUUAGAUUUUGGAUCUAAGAAACUGAUUUAAGUUCGCUAAACUCUCUAAUUCUAUAUACCUGCUAAUACCACAAUUUUAGGUAACAACAGCAUUUUAAAUUCCCUAUAGUAACGAUCCUUGUUUACGUUAUAUUAUGUCUCGGUGUUGUAGUUUAAUAUAAGGAUUUUCUAGGGUAUAAAAAUUAUAAAUUGUGUCUUUAUGCUUUCUAAUUACAAGACAUUUUCUAUUUAUGUCGCUAGGUAUUUCGAUUAUGAUGGUGUGAACACUCUUUUUUACCCUGUUUUAGGAAAGACAUUGGGUCUUUAUUUAUAGGUAACACUUACGUUUUUAUAUGCGGUAAUGUAUCAAGCAAAAGUCCAUCCAGCUUCUACUGCCAAAACAAAAAAGAGAAAAAAACAAAAUAAAUAAGAAAUAAACAAAAUUGUUGAUUAAAAGAAAGAAGUUGUCCAAAAGGAGUGAGUAAUGCGUAUAGUAUAAUCGAUAUUUAAUUUUUGUGGUUUUGUAUUUUUUACAAACGGGGGCUGGUCUAAAAAACCUUUUGUUAAUUUUUUUCAAAUGGCGUUUAUCUUAUUAUUAGUGAUCACUAACACAUUUACACAAUUUGCGAUGAUUAGUUUGAUGUGGCAAUUACGUUUUUGUUCUUCCUAUGGUAGACAUGUAUCAGAUAGUUAUUUUCCCAAAAAUGGAAAAACAUUACGUUACAGUACAAUACAAAAACUAAAAAUGGACUGUUCAAAAUCCAAUCUCCAUUUACUUUCCUCCAAUGUAAAAAGAGGCACCAUGUGCACAGCUUACAGAGUUAAUUAAUAGUUUUAAAAAACAGAAACAAAUAAAACGGAAUACACAAUACUACUCAGCCGGUGUUUUAAAGUUGUUACAGGCUGACGCCAAGGAAAUUAAACACCCUUACGCUACCCCUUACGCUGCUACAACUCUAAUCAAAAGACCAGAGUCUACGGUGACAAUUCAUCAUGCGAACUUUAAAAAAUUUGGAUUGUUUAUGUUUUGUAUAUGAAAUUCGUAAGGGGAGAAACGCAUUGCGGGAGACAACUUUCUGGUAUAGCUUUUAAAAUAAACUUGGAUGUGUACAUAAUUAAAAACAAAGAAAGAUUUUAUGCGCUUUUCAGUGUGUUACUAGCAUAAUGAGGUUCCUAUCGGUUUCUUUGGUUGGCUACACUUUUAUUUUGAACUUUCUGUUUAAUAAAAUUAUACAUUUAUUCUUCCACCACCACAAAUGUGCUUAUUAUUUUCUUCUUUAUUCAGAUUUUAGUAAUAAGCAUCAACUACCAUGGCAAAAUGCUGGAGAUGGGAAUGAUGACGGUUAUGAAAUGGCAGGAGUAACAUCGUCUUAUUAUGCAGAUCUUAAUCCUUAAUUUAUAACACCAAGCAUCUAUGCUGUUAAUUAACAAACGGCAAAACAGCAAAAGCAGCAUCGUUUAAUUAUGCGGAACUUAAUGUUCAAACAAGAAAACCAAGUUUUAUUCUGAUUCGACAACAACGUUUUGAACAAUAUUGCAAGAAGUACUUAUGCGUAACUGCAAAACUCAGUCCUCCUGCAACGUAGCAUUUUCGCUUUAUUGAAAGUUUAUCUGCAUUUUAAUUUUGUUUUUAGACGUACUUUAUUUCCUUCAGCACCAUCCUCUUCAUAUUAUUCUGUACUCAGCCUUUUUUUCAUUGUUUAUCAUGCAUCUCUCGUGUCUAAAUUUGAACCUUUAUAACAAUUUGAUACCUAUUUUUGAUAAAUAAUGUAUAUCAUUUUGCGCAUAUAGAAUUAAUUAUAUUGGUGACUAUAUAAAUAGUUGUGUACAUAUCGAUAGUUUAUGGCGACAAAAGAAAUGCGGAUUUUCUCAA